Molecule: long non-coding RNA, 8908 nt
Filed under: Haliotis rufescens (red abalone)
Lineage: Eukaryota; Metazoa; Mollusca; Gastropoda; Lepetellida; Haliotidae
Description: uncharacterized LOC125375980, transcript variant X1
Source: RNAcentral
ACAUUACUUCCAAAUGGAACACCUCACUUCUGUCCCAACGUCAAGUUACAUGGGUGCUGUUGGCAAUCCAUAUAAAAUGAUUGAUUAUUUUCUAGGUCAUGCAGCAAAACAGUUUGUAGACAAGCACGUCUUACCGGAGGUUCCUCAACAGCCAGGUCAUGGUCUCCAAAUCAAACACACUAGCCUGCAGGUACUGUGGAAAACUGUACCAGAGACCAAAAGCUCUCCGCAAACACGAAGCAUCCGGAAUAUAAUGCUGAAAACAAUCAGGAUUCCACAUCUUCAGCAGAAUCAAGAUCAUCUAUUUAUCAGUACACCCGUCUGUCUCUCAUGCUUGGGCUUCUUCGAAUAAAUCACAACGAUUCCAUUCACAUGGGAGAUGGUGGCAGGCAUGAUGAGACUAGUAAAGUGGUUCUGUUUAUACUACAAGGCAAGCAAAUGUCCAAAGUAUGCAUAUGGUCUCCUUUGAAACACAGGCAAAGGCAUAUGCUCUCCUAUAUGAACGGCAGGCUUUAUAGAUUGAUAUGGAACCGCACAGUCAACCAUCAAGGCAGAGAAGACACCAAUCAUCCCAUCGACCUUGACUUGGAGCAUUGCAACAGGGCUUUCAAAGAUGAUGUACACACCACAUACAAGGGGAGGUACACAGAUAAAAGACGAUUCUCAAAGUCAGCAGAAGUGCGCUGUCAAUGGAAGAAUUAUGCCAAAAAUACGACAAAUUGGCAUUCCGCAAGAAAUGUUCGGGAAGGCAUGGAGUUGUUGAUCCUUCUUGGUGAUAUUCUUAAACUUGUAGAACAAUUCCAUUCCUAUGCAGCUCUAUUCAAUGAGGCCAACAAGCCACUGCCACAGAGAAAUCAAAAACAUGCUGAGUGACAUCCAAAAUUGGAUUUCAGAAAGUCUUAAAGUCUUCAGUAGCCGCACAUACUAUAACAUCUGAACCUUUUUUCCCGAUGUGUAAUUCAGUGUCACAUGAUUAAAACGAGACCCUGUUGCAAAGUCGCUAUCACUGUAUGUUUCAUGAUCUUCAUGUUCUGAGUCUGAGUGAGAUGAUGAGCUAUCACUCGAGUCAAGGGAAGUUUUGUACAACUCAAGAAUAUCACAUCUACAUUCACUACAUGGGGUAAUUGCAUGUCCAUGAGUCUCUGCAGUCACAGAGACACUUGCAAGAUAUGGCACAGUUGUCCAUAGCACUCAUGACUUCAGUAAAGCUCAACUCGUCGACAUACGUUGGUUCUGACAUACUGUUUCAUUUCAUCCGAAAUAUUCCGCCUGCCACUGAGACAUCGUCUAAAUUUCAUGAGAAGAGCAUGUGCCUGCUUUUCUGGAUCCCUGCCUGCUCCGUCCUUGUCUCUUGAAUAUAAUCCUCAACAUUAUUGGCUGGACCAUAGUGGAUGACGGUUUCCACACUUUCUUAGCAUUGUGUAUACACAACGUAAUUAACGGAUUCUGACAUCAGCCACAUAUCUCGGACCACCCCACGAGUCUCUCUUAACCGUUCAAUUAACGUUCCGCUUGGUGUUGCCACACCUGUCCGCCAUCUGCUGUUGAGAUACUGUAACGGUUCUCGUCUGAAAAGAGGACUUCUCCCACUGCUGGUGCUGUGCUACCCACUGAAGACGGUCCAGGAAACAAAGAAGAAGACUGAAAGGAUACCACUGGGAGUGCUUCAGUGAGGACCUCAGUGACCGUUCUCCAUCACAGUAGGUGCUCAGCGGAGGGGACUACCUCACCCUUGAGAGGCAGAAACAAGCCAAUCAUGCACUUACGAGAUGGACCUACACCAAGUUCCAGAUUACAAGGACUUGUUCCAAAGAUGGAAGAGUUCCAUAACGAAGCUGAAUUUCUAAAGGUUAUAUGGAAACACUUGUACUCGUCCUCCUCUAACAAGUCUGUUUGGCACUCUGCAUGCUGCAAAGGAGCACAAUAAAUGCGGUGAAUGUUACUCAGGAUCCUCAUGACAACUUUUACCCAUGCUCUGAAUUCAUGGACAAGGUCACCACCGCCUACAUCGUAACUCGGGGACUACAUUACUUCCAAAUGGAACACCUCACUUCUGUCCCAACGUCAAGUUACAUGGGUGCUGUUGGCAAUCCAUAUAAAAUGAUUGAUUAUUUUCUAGGUCAUGCAGCAAAACAGUUUGUAGACAAGCACGUCUUACCGGAGGUUCCUCAACAGCCAGGUCAUGGUCUCCAAAUCAAACACACUAGCCUGCAGGUACUGUGGAAAACUGUACCAGAGACCAAAAGCUCUCCGCAAACACGAAGCAUCCGGAAUAUAAUGCUGAAAACAAUCAGGAUUCCACAUCUUCAGCAGAAUCAAGAUCAUCUAUUUAUCAGUACACCCGUCUGUCUCUCAUGCUUGGGCUUCUUCGAAUAAAUCACAACGAUUCCAUUCACAUGGGAGAUGGUGGCAGGCAUGAUGAGACUAGUAAAGUGGUUCUGUUUAUACUACAAGGCAAGCAAAUGUCCAAAGUAUGCAUAUGGUCUCCUUUGAAACACAGGCAAAGGCAUAUGCUCUCCUAUAUGAACGGCAGGCUUUAUAGAUUGAUAUGGAACCGCACAGUCAACCAUCAAGGCAGAGAAGACACCAAUCAUCCCAUCGACCUUGACUUGGAGCAUUGCAACAGGGCUUUCAAAGAUGAUGUACACACCACAUACAAGGGGAGGUACACAGAUAAAAGACGAUUCUCAAAGUCAGCAGAAGUGCGCUGUCAAUGGAAGAAUUAUGCCAAAAAUACGACAAAUUGGCAUUCCGCAAGAAAUGUUCGGGAAGGCAUGGAGUUGUUGAUCCUUCUUGGUGAUAUUCUUAAACUUGUAGAACAAUUCCAUUCCUAUGCAGCUCUAUUCAAUGAGGCCAACAAGCCACUGCCACAGAGAAAUCAAAAACAUGCUGAGUGACAUCCAAAAUUGGAUUUCAGAAAGUCUUAAAGUCUUCAGUAGCCGCACAUACUAUAACAUCUGAACCUUUUUUCCCGAUGUGUAAUUCAGUGUCACAUGAUUAAAACGAGACCCUGUUGCAAAGUCGCUAUCACUGUAUGUUUCAUGAUCUUCAUGUUCUGAGUCUGAGUGAGAUGAUGAGCUAUCACUCGAGUCAAGGGAAGUUUUGUACAACUCAAGAAUAUCACAUCUACAUUCACUACAUGGGGUAAUUGCAUGUCCAUGAGUCUCUGCAGUCACAGAGACACUUGCAAGAUAUGGCACAGUUGUCCAUAGCACUCAUGACUUCAGUAAAGCUCAACUCGUCGACAUACGUUGGUUCUGACAUACUGUUUCAUUUCAUCCGAAAUAUUCCGCCUGCCACUGAGACAUUGUCUAAAUUUCAUGAGAAGAGCAUGUGCCUGCUUUUCUGGAUCCCUGCCUGCUCCGUCCUUGUCUCUUGAAUAUAAUCCUCAACAUUAUUGGCUGGACCAUAGUGGAUGACGGUUUCCACACUUUCUUAGCAUUGUGUAUACACAACGUAAUUAACGGAUUCUGACAUCAGCCACAUAUCUCGGACCACCCCACGAGUCUCUCUUAACCGUUCAAUUAACGUUCCGCUUGGUGUUGCCACACCUGUCCGCCAUCUGCUGUUGAGAUACUGUAACGGUUCUCGUCUGAAAAGAGGACUUCUCCCACUGCUGGUGCUGUGCUACCCACUGAAGACGGUCCAGGAAACAAAGAAGAAGACUGAAAGGAUACCACUGGGAGUGCUUCAGUGAGGACCUCAGUGACCGUUCUCCAUCACAGUAGGUGCUCAGCGGAGGGGACUACCUCACCCUUGAGAGGCAGAAACAAGCCAAUCAUGCACUUACGAGAUGGACCUACACCAAGUUCCAGAUUACAAGGACUUGUUCCAAAGAUGGAAGAGUUCCAUAACGAAGCUGAAUUUCUAAAGGUUAUAUGGAAACACUUGUACUCGUCCUCCUCUAACAAGUCUGUUUGGCACUCUGCAUGCUGCAAAGGAGCACAAUAAAUGCGGUGAAUGUUACUCAGGAUCCUCAUGACAACUUUUACCCAUGCUCUGAAUUCAUGGACAAGGUCACCACCGCCUACAUCGUAACUCGGGGACUACAUUACUUCCAAAUGGAACACCUCACUUCUGUCCCAACGUCAAGUUACAUGGGUGCUGUUGGCAAUCCAUAUAAAAUGAUUGAUUAUUUUCUAGGUCAUGCAGCAAAACAGUUUGUAGACAAGCACGUCUUACCGGAGGUUCCUCAACAGCCAGGUCAUGGUCUCCAAAUCAAACACACUAGCCUGCAGGUACUGUGGAAAACUGUACCAGAGACCAAAAGCUCUCCGCAAACACGAAGCAUCCGGAAUAUAAUGCUGAAAACAAUCAGGAUUCCACAUCUUCAGCAGAAUCAAGAUCAUCUAUUUAUCAGUACACCCGUCUGUCUCUCAUGCUUGGGCUUCUUCGAAUAAAUCACAACGAUUCCAUUCACAUGGGAGAUGGUGGCAGGCAUGAUGAGACUAGUAAAGUGGUUCUGUUUAUACUACAAGGCAAGCAAAUGUCCAAAGUAUGCAUAUGGUCUCCUUUGAAACACAGGCAAAGGCAUAUGCUCUCCUAUAUGAACGGCAGGCUUUAUAGAUUGAUAUGGAACCGCACAGUCAACCAUCAAGGCAGAGAAGACACCAAUCAUCCCAUCGACCUUGACUUGGAGCAUUGCAACAGGGCUUUCAAAGAUGAUGUACACACCACAUACAAGGGGAGGUACACAGAUAAAAGACGAUUCUCAAAGUCAGCAGAAGUGCGCUGUCAAUGGAAGAAUUAUGCCAAAAAUACGACAAAUUGGCAUUCCGCAAGAAAUGUUCGGGAAGGCAUGGAGUUGUUGAUCCUUCUUGGUGAUAUUCUUAAACUUGUAGAACAAUUCCAUUCCUAUGCAGCUCUAUUCAAUGAGGCCAACAAGCCACUGCCACAGAGAAAUCAAAAACAUGCUGAGUGACAUCCAAAAUUGGAUUUCAGAAAGUCUUAAAGUCUUCAGUAGCCGCACAUACUAUAACAUCUGAACCUUUUUUCCCGAUGUGUAAUUCAGUGUCACAUGAUUAAAACGAGACCCUGUUGCAAAGUCGCUAUCACUGUAUGUUUCAUGAUCUUCAUGUUCUGAGUCUGAGUGAGAUGAUGAGCUAUCACUCGAGUCAAGGGAAGUUUUGUACAACUCAAGAAUAUCACAUCUACAUUCACUACAUGGGGUAAUUGCAUGUCCAUGAGUCUCUGCAGUCACAGAGACACUUGCAAGAUAUGGCACAGUUGUCCAUAGCACUCAUGACUUCAGUAAAGCUCAACUCGUCGACAUACGUUGGUUCUGACAUACUGUUUCAUUUCAUCCGAAAUAUUCCGCCUGCCACUGAGACAUCGUCUAAAUUUCAUGAGAAGAGCAUGUGCCUGCUUUUCUGGAUCCCUGCCUGCUCCGUCCUUGUCUCUUGAAUAUAAUCCUCAACAUUAUUGGCUGGACCAUAGUGGAUGACGGUUUCCACACUUUCUUAGCAUUGUGUAUACACAACGUAAUUAACGGAUUCUGACAUCAGCCACAUAUCUCGGACCACCCCACGAGUCUCUCUUAACCGUUCAAUUAACGUUCCGCUUGGUGUUGCCACACCUGUCCGCCAUCUGCUGUUGAGAUACUGUAACGGUUCUCGUCUGAAAAGAGGACUUCUCCCACUGCUGGUGCUGUGCUACCCACUGAAGACGGUCCAGGAAACAAAGAAGAAGACUGAAAGGAUACCACUGGGAGUGCUUCAGUGAGGACCUCAGUGACCGUUCUCCAUCACAGUAGGUGCUCAGCGGAGGGGACUACCUCACCCUUGAGAGGCAGAAACAAGCCAAUCAUGCACUUACGAGAUGGACCUACACCAAGUUCCAGAUUACAAGGACUUGUUCCAAAGAUGGAAGAGUUCCAUAACGAAGCUGAAUUUCUAAAGGUUAUAUGGAAACACUUGUACUCGUCCUCCUCUAACAAGUCUGUUUGGCACUCUGCAUGCUGCAAAGGAGCACAAUAAAUGCGGUGAAUGUUACUCAGGAUCCUCAUGACAACUUUUACCCAUGCUCUGAAUUCAUGGACAAGGUCACCACCGCCUACAUCGUAACUGGGGGACUACAUUACUUCCAAAUGGAACACCUCACUUCUGUCCCAACGUCAAGUUACAUGGGUGCUGUUGGCAAUCCAUAUAAAAUGAUUGAUUAUUUUCUAGGUCAUGCAGCAAAACAGUUUGUAGACAAGCACGUCUUACCGGAGGUUCCUCAACAGCCAGGUCAUGGUCUCCAAAUCAAACACACUAGCCUGCAGGUACUGUGGAAAACUGUACCAGAGACCAAAAGCUCUCCGCAAACACGAAGCAUCCGGAAUAUAAUGCUGAAAACAAUCAGGAUUCCACAUCUUCAGCAGAAUCAAGAUCAUCUAUUUAUCAGUACACCCGUCUGUCUCUCAUGCUUGGGCUUCUUCGAAUAAAUCACAACGAUUCCAUUCACAUGGGAGAUGGUGGCAGGCAUGAUGAGACUAGUAAAGUGGUUCUGUUUAUACUACAAGGCAAGCAAAUGUCCAAAGUAUGCAUAUGGUCUCCUUUGAAACACAGGCAAAGGCAUAUGCUCUCCUAUAUGAACGGCAGGCUUUAUAGAUUGAUAUGGAACCGCACAGUCAACCAUCAAGGCAGAGAAGACACCAAUCAUCCCAUCGACCUUGACUUGGAGCAUUGCAACAGGGCUUUCAAAGAUGAUGUACACACAUACAAGGGGAGGUACACAGAUAAAAGACGAUUCUCAAAGUCAGCAGAAGUGCGCUGUCAAUGGAAGAAUUAUGCCAAAAAUACGACAAAUUGGCAUUCCGCAAGAAAUGUUCGGGAAGGCAUGGAGUUGUUGAUCCUUCUUGGUGAUAUUCUUAAACUUGUAGAACAAUUCCAUUCCUAUGCAGCUCUAUUCAAUGAGGCCAACAAGCCACUGCCACAGAGAAAUCAAAAACAUGCUGAGUGACAUCCAAAAUUGGAUUUCAGAAAGUCUUAAAGUCUUCAGUAGCCGCACAUACUAUAACAUCUGAACCUUUUUUCCCGAUGUGUAAUUCAGUGUCACAUGAUUAAAACGAGACCCUGUUGCAAAGUCGCUAUCACUGUAUGUUUCAUGAUCUUCAUGUUCUGAGUCUGAGUGAGAUGAUGAGCUAUCACUCGAGUCAAGGGAAGUUUUGUACAACUCAAGAAUAUCACAUCUACAUUCACUACAUGGGGUAAUUGCAUGUCCAUGAGUCUCUGCAGUCACAGAGACACUUGCAAGAUAUGGCACAGUUGUCCAUAGCACUCAUGACUUCAGUAAAGCUCAACUCGUCGACAUACGUUGGUUCUGACAUACUGUUUCAUUUCAUCCGAAAUAUUCCGCCUGCCACUGAGACAUCGUCUAAAUUUCAUGAGAAGAGCAUGUGCCUGCUUUUCUGGAUCCCUGCCUGCUCCGUCCUUGUCUCUUGAAUAUAAUCCUCAACAUUAUUGGCUGGACCAUAGUGGAUGACGGUUUCCACACUUUGUAAGUCCCAAGCUGAAUGGUGUUGAGCAAUGGACUAUCAAGGGACUAUCAUCCUCUUGAAACCAUUUGGAUCCAUGAAGGACUCUGACACACUUCCCUGUUUUCCUUCUCAUUCAUACAUAUUCUGUAUGUUGUUAUGCAUGAUUGAUGUUGAACUUUAAUUGAAACUUUAGCUUGAAAAUUGGCCGAUUUCUUUUAUGAAAUUUAACUCCUAUUAUAAGAAUAAGAUCAACAUAUGCAAAAACAAUUGUUGUUAGAUGAUUAUUUUUUUGUAACCGAUCAACAAGAUCAACUUUAGUGUUUUAGUGUUUUAACUUAGCUAAUGUAAUGUAAUACAGUGGAUGUAUGCAUUCCUUUUUCAUAAGGGCAUUAACAUAUAUUACAUAAUGCCUCUACCUGGGACUGCGGCCAAACUUACAAAAUUAACCCUUGUUUGAGAGUAACAAGUAUCAAGUUCAUGAUGAUUGUAGAAGUGAUUGUAUGUAUUCAUAAAUGUGACACAUGCACAUUUUGAAAUGUUAAUAUUUGUGCUUUAACUUUGAUUUGAUGAAUAUCAAAUUAGAUAUUGUAUACACUUUAUAGCUACUUGUGAUCAGUGCACAUUUUUAUACCUUUAGAUUGUGCAGUUUCAUAGUGGUUAGUAAGAAUAUUUUGUGAAUUUAUACUUGUUUUAUCACAAAACAUGUGAAUGAGUGAAUGUCGUCUCAUACUGCAGUCAGCAAUAUUGCAGCCAUAUGAAGGCAGCCUGUAAACCAGUAAUUGAUACGCACACCAUCCUAGUACAUAAAACAUUCGCUCUCCAUGCCUAUUUAUGGUGUCCCCGUCGUGAUUUUGCUGGGAUAUUGCCAAAAGAUGCGUAAAUCCAUGCUCUCUCAAUUCAACAUGCCAUGCCUUGACAGACAAAACGAAAUACAAAAUAUAACAUUUAUACUUACAAUUUUGCAAUGCAGUGUGCUUCAUCAAUGAAAAUUGCCAUCAAAAUCUUCUCUUUAGUCAGGCUGUGUUCCAAGAACUGUCUCUGGACUUGCAAAUAUUAUUAUGUCAGUGUCAGGGUGAAAAAACCGUCACAGUAGCAUGGUUGGAGUUAUUAAGUUUCUUAAACACGAAUGGUGCUAAUUCAAAAGUAAGUGAUUUUCCUGAUCCUGUUGGAGAAAAAAAAGGACAUCCUUUCCUCUGAGGUAACUUACAAUCACUUGUCUUUGAUGAUUCCUGAAGUGAUCAAUUAUGUAACUGCAUUACCUUCCAUACCAACAGUUAUACAUGUAGUUAAGUUAAAUAGAGGGCGUAUAUACUUAAAACACAACAUCAAUCCUUUGUUCCGUUCAGCAGUGUGUCAGAUUCGUGAUGGCUAGCUUGAGGUGGCUAGACUUGCUUUUUGUAUGCAUUACUAGAUUAUUUUUUUAAAUGAAAUAAAUAUAUUCCACGGUCA